Molecule: non-coding RNA, 359 nt
Organism: Neolamprologus brichardi
Lineage: Eukaryota; Metazoa; Chordata; Actinopteri; Cichliformes; Cichlidae
Source: RefSeq, a predicted model, not a curated record
UUCAAUUGUGCAGUCUGAGCCACACAGUUCCAGUUUGUUUUUAACCGUAUCUGUUUGUGGACUUUGCUCUUUGCUGGAUUUCUUUCUUCCCGCCUGUUUCCUGUUUGUGUCUCACUGCUUCCCUCACAUCUCCCUCAGCAGCCUUUUCCAGCAUUACUUUCAACAAAAGUUUCAUUUCUUGGUCAUGGAUGAUUUCGUAAGAACCAAACUGGUUGAAUGGGGGCUAAGUGAGUGGGUGGAGAAAUUUAAAGAUCAAGAAAUUGAUGCAGGAAUUAUUUGUGAGCUUGAUGAUCGAGAAAUUGAGAAUUUGAUCACAAAAGCUGGACCAAGAAUGAGAUUCAAGAAGAACCUCAAGCUGU